This 892-nucleotide ribosomal RNA is filed under the name Paramyrothecium roridum. RNAcentral's name for it is "LSU rRNA". It matches the Rfam family "Eukaryotic large subunit ribosomal RNA", at positions 38 to 964 of the family's 3401-position model. The record is from RNAcentral. Lineage: Eukaryota; Fungi; Ascomycota; Sordariomycetes; Hypocreales; Stachybotryaceae.
GCAUAUCAAUAAGCGGAGGAAAAGAAACCAACAGGGAUUGCCUCAGUAACGGCGAGUGAAGCGGCAACAGCUCAAAUUUGAAAUCUGGCCCUAGGCCCGAGUUGUAAUUUGCAGAGGAUGCUUUUGGUGAGGUGCCUUCCGAGUUCCCUGGAACGGGACGCCAUAGAGGGUGAGAGCCCCGUCUGGUCGGACACCGAGCCUCUGUAAAGCUCCUUCGACGAGUCGAGUAGUUUGGGAAUGCUGCUCUAAAUGGGAGGUAUAUGUCUUCUAAAGCUAAAUACCGGCCAGAGACCGAUAGCGCACAAGUAGAGUGAUCGAAAGAUGAAAAGCACUUUGAAAAGAGAGUUAAAUAGCACGUGAAAUUGUUGAAAGGGAAGCGUUUAUGACCAGACUUGGCCCGGUUGAUCAUCCAGCGUUCUCGCUGGUGCACUCUGCCGGUCCAGGCCAGCAUCAGUUCGUCGCGGGGGAUAAAGGUUUCGGGAAUGUGGCUCCUCCGGGAGUGUUAUAGCCCGUUGCGUAAUACCCUGCGGUGGACUGAGGUCCGCGCUUCUGCAAGGAUGCUGGCGUAAUGGUCAUCAACGACCCGUCUUGAAACACGGACCAAGGAGUCGUCUUCGUAUGCGAGUGUUCGGGUGUAAAACCCCUACGCGUAAUGAAAGUGAACGCAGGUGAGAGCUUCGGCGCAUCAUCGACCGAUCCUGAUGUUCUCGGAUGGAUUUGAGUAAGAGCAUACGGGGCCGGACCCGAAAGAAGGUGAACUAUGCCUGUAUAGGGUGAAGCCAGAGGAAACUCUGGUGGAGGCUCGCAGCGGUUCUGACGUGCAAAUCGAUCGUCAAAUAUGGGCAUGGGGGCGAAAGACUAAUCGAACCUUCUAGUAGCUGGUUUCCGCCGA